This is a non-coding RNA of Pantherophis guttatus, 329 nucleotides long. The record is from RefSeq and is a predicted model, not a curated record. NCBI's taxonomy places the organism in Eukaryota, Metazoa, Chordata, Lepidosauria, Squamata, Colubridae.
GGAAGCUACACGCACUGGAGGGACAUGUUCUUCCUUGAAUAGAGAUCUGCCUCCUCCCUCCUUCGAACAAUGUUGUAAAAUAUCGCAUCUACAUGGAAACAUUGGGAGAGGUCCUUGGCCAAUACUUUUGGGAUUAGGUAUCAACAAUAUAAUUCCUAGUUUACCAUCUCAAGAAGAACAUAUCUGGAAAUCCUGAUCUGGUGCCUGGAAUUGAACAAAUGGGACAGAGUUAAAAACAGCCUGUCACAUCAUGUCCAAGUGCCCCAAACACUGCAUUCUUUAGCCAUGGAGGUCCACGGAGGACUGGGGCAGUCAGAGCCCAAAAUUUC